This 433-nucleotide ribosomal RNA is filed under the name uncultured bacterium. RNAcentral's name for it is "partial 16S ribosomal RNA". It matches the Rfam family "Bacterial small subunit ribosomal RNA", at positions 29 to 507 of the family's 1533-position model. The record is from RNAcentral.
AACGAACGCUGGCGGCAUGCCUAACACAUGCAAGUCGAACGAGACCUUCGGGUCUAGUGGCGCACGGGUGCGUAACGCGUUGGAACCUGCCUUUAGGUUCGGAAUAACUCAGAGAAAUUUGAGCUAAUACCGGUUGAUGUCUUCGGACCAAAGAUUUAUCGCCUUUAGAUGGGCCCGCGUUGGAUUAGCUAGUUGGUGGGGUAAAGGCCUACCAAGGCGACGAUCCAUAGCUGGUCUGAGAGGAUGAUCAUCCACACUGGGACUGAGACACGGCCCAGACUACGACGGGAGGAAGCAGUGGGGAAUAUUGGACAAUGGGCGAAAGCCUGAUACAGCAAUGCCGCGUGAGUGAUGAAGGCCCUAGGGUUGUAAAGCUCUUUUACCCGAGAUGAUAAUGACAGUAUCGGGAGAAUAAGCUCCGGCUAACUCCGUG